AGAAAGGGCGGGGUGGAGGAGGGGGAAGGGCGGGGGUGAUGCCGCGCGGUCGCAGGCUUGGGAUGGUGUUCGCGCCUCCGAGACCCGGACAGAGGCAAGCAGGGGCGCCGUGGGUGCCAGAGAGGCGGAAGAGGAGGCCUGAUGGGAGACGAGGUUUCACCAUGCUGGCCAGGAUGGUCUCGAUCUCUUGACCUUAUGAUCCGCCCGCCUCGGCCUCCCAAAGUGUUGGGAUUACAGGCGUGAGCCAUUCAACAACUAUUUAUUGCAUGCCAUCUCCAGGCCUGGAAUUAAGCUGGGUAUAAAGAACACAAUGACUAAGUCCCUGCCUCGGGCAAGUCGAGGAAGAGGGAAGAGCCUCCUUGUUCUACAGAUGGGAAGACUGGCCCAAAGGGAGUAAGCAGCUGCCCUUCAUAACUAAGUGAAUCUGACAGAACUGAUCCAAGCGUCAGCCCAGCCUCUAAACUUGGCCAUUUGAUGAACUAGAUCUAAGCACAGUUUGCAGUUCUUGCCGUGAAUCACGUAAAUGUCACUCUACCAGAAAAUGGAACUUAAGAACCAGCAUUUGUUCCUGGAGACCUGAGUUCCAACUCUUGUCUCUGCCACUAAAUAGCUUUAGUUUUCUUACUGGGGUGGGGGGAGGGGAAAGGAAAUAACUGCUUAUUCAAAGGGCUAUUGUUGGCAUUAAAUCAGGCAAUGGAUGCGAAUUUGGUCUGAAAGCAUAACCUGCUAUAUAUAAGUGUGUGCUGUUACUAUGCAGGUGGCGUGCCUUUUCUAACCUAUAAGCUGUAUUCAGGCCUCUCCCCCAGCUUAUCCCAAGCCUGGUUACUAGGUGCCCAGAAGCUAACCGUAAUUCUGCUCCCCUCAGGUUAGGCCACAAUGUGCUUACUCAUGAUGAUCUUUUCCCUCCAGUUUCUUAACAGCAUGGCCACAAGCUUAGCUCACUGCCUAGAAGCCAUGUCAUCUUUGGGGCAGGAGGGAAGCAAUUCUGGUGCCUUUCUCCUCUUCUCUUCUCUCUUUUUCUUUCUUUCUUUUCUUCCUUCCUUCUUUCCUUCCUUCCUUUCUCUCUCUUCUUGUCUUUCCAUCUUUCCUUCUCCUCUUCUUUCUUUUUCUUUCUUUCCUUUCUUCCUUCCUUCUUUCCUUCCUUCC
Molecule: long non-coding RNA, 1146 nt
Filed under: Homo sapiens (human)
Lineage: Eukaryota; Metazoa; Chordata; Mammalia; Primates; Hominidae
Description: PREDICTED lncRNA (TCONS_00051042)
Source: RNAcentral